Molecule: non-coding RNA, 656 nt
Organism: Caenorhabditis elegans
Lineage: Eukaryota; Metazoa; Nematoda; Chromadorea; Rhabditida; Rhabditidae
Source: Ensembl
GGUGGUUGCCCUUUCUUUCUUCUUCUGCUUUUCUUUGUAUUUCAAUCAUAUUAAACAAACAAUUGGAGUGCCAUGUUGUUCCGAUUUGUGUAGAUGAUUAGAAUUUUUCAUCUCGAAGUUAUUCUAAAAUUUUUCAGAAGAAUUUGGUCCAAUGCUACAACUUGAAACAAUAGGAUUCAAUAAAAACGAAGAUUUUGAUAAACUCCCAACUUUGGAGCAAUUCUUCCUUUGCGGCCAAAAUAUGUGGACAUGAAAAUCCGACCAGAAAUUGAGGAGAAGUGGUUGUUCUUAUUGGAUCAUUUGUUCACGAUAUAAAUUAAAUCAGAAUAUCUUCCACUGAAACCCGCCUAUGCGGUAACUUAUCACAAAGCACAAGGUCAGACCUAGGAUUUGGUGUAUGUUCAAUCAAUUUAUGUUGUAUUGGAUAUAAAUAAAUGUUUUGUUGCACCUAGAAACCCUAGUAACAUGUCAUCUGGUUACGCCCUCUGGACACGCCCAUGACACCAAGAAGAAGAAAGAAGAGAAGAGCAAGGUAGUGUGGUGGUGAUGAUGGUUCCUGAGUGGUGAUGGUAUGAGCUCUCAUUCUAUUCUAUCUUUAUUCUAUCUUUUACAUAUUAAUCCUCAUUAUUCUUUAUAUUCUUUAACUUCCAAUAAUA